This 1362-nucleotide long non-coding RNA is filed under the name Oryctolagus cuniculus (rabbit). RNAcentral describes it as "lncRNA (ENSOCUG00000030427.1)". Lineage: Eukaryota; Metazoa; Chordata; Mammalia; Lagomorpha; Leporidae. The record is from RNAcentral.
UAUAUUACAGAUAAAUACCUGUGAAAGGAAGAAAGUGGAGUUCUAUUGAACCAAAGGAGAAGUUCUGAGAGAGGUUAGCCUUAGCUAACCCAGUAAGGAACUUUGGUAUGAUUAGUGCAUGAGUAGUCCCACAUCAGGGAGAGGUGGCUUCCUGCACCUGACCUGCGAGCUGAAGAAUGGAACAGCUGGAAGCCAUCUGCCAACUGCCUCGUGUAUCUUGGAAAAAAGUAUACCUUGAAGAAUGAUCUGCCUGGUGCAGCAUCAAGCCUAACACAGAGGCAGUUACUGAUGGAAGAGCCUAAAGGAAAAUGUAGGUCAAGUGCUUUUAUCCUCUGCAACUUGCACAAGAGCAAUCACAAAAUCACAGUGACUGGCCCUGAUUUUCAGUGAUGGAAAGUGAAAGAUAAUAGGCGAGAAAGCAACACACAUGUAUUCAUUAUCAAGAGAGAAGCAGCUUUCUAAACUCAUCCUGAAAUUGAAGAAGAGAUCCUGAGUCUGUAUGAGCACCACUUGUUUCAUAGAUCAUGAGUUGGUCAUGGUUGAUAUAUUCAUAUGACUAGACUAUAUCAGUAAUAUUUUUAGAUCUUAUUCCCGUUUUUACUAGUGUUUAAUUAAACAAAUCUCAUUGCUAGUUAGGACUAGGCAUAUUAAUGUUACCCUUCUUAUUUCAGUCAAAACAUCCUUUAAUCAAUUCAAUGAUAGGCUUUUCUGUGGAACAGGACCUUCUGGUUCCCCAAGACACAGUUAUUCCACAGUCCAAUUAAACUCUGCAGUUAUGUUUUCAUGUGCAUCUAGGUAGCCUAUUUUUUAACCUUCCUAAACUGGGAUCUCUAAAUCUUGGAACUAUUGACAUUUUGGAUCAAAUAACUCGAAAGUAUGUGUGUGGGGAGCUGGCAGAGGGCAGAAGGUAGAGGUUCAUUGUUUUGCAACAUUCCCGGCCUUUCUCCACAAAAUAUCUGUAGCACUCCCUCCACCAGUCACAAUCAAUAAUGCCUCUAAUUCUUAUGAAAUACACCCUGAGAGGCAAAAUUGAUCCAAAUUAAGAACCACUGUUCUGGGGGCUGGCACUGUGGCAUAGUGGGUUAAGCAUCCACCUGUGGCACUGGCAUCCUAUAUGGCUCUGGUUUGAGUCCCGACUACUCCUCUUCUGACCCAGUUCUCUGCUAUGGCCUGGGAAAGCAGUAGAAAAAGGCCCAAGUACUUGGGCCCCUGUGCUUGUGUAGGAAAUCCAUAAAAAGCUCCUGGCUUAGGAUUGGCUCAACUCCAGCUGUUUGGAGAGUAGACCAACAGAUAGAAGACCUCUCCCUCUCUGUAACUAUGCUUCUCAAGUAAAUAAAAAUAAGUAAAUCUUGAAAAAAAUCA